CUUUUGUACAUAUACAUGAAAAAGAGAAGUGCCCUUUCCUCUUCUGAUUGUUGUUCUCUCCUUACUUUCUCCCAAGGAGGACCAGAACCUUCUCCUGGCAGCUGCCUAUGUUUCUGAUGCCCAGUACAACAGAAAUGUUCCAUUUGAAACGUCUCCUCGGGCCAUCAGGUAAAUAAAGUAUUAAACUGUCUCCUAGAGCAACCUGUCCUUUAGUACUUACCAGUCUUGAAGUUGAACCCAAACUGAAGACAUUGUCUCCACAAACAUUUUGAGAAGUCUCUAGGAUAAGGCAUGGAGAUUUGGAUAAAAUCCUAACAUCCAAUGCUUUUAUUUUUUUUUUAAGUUAUAAGAGCAUGGUGUCUCACACAUAGGGAAGCACUCAAUAAAUACAUUAAGGACAGAUAAAUGAGUACAUGACUAACAUAUAGAGCAGGAGAUAGGGCAUCUGAAGUGAAUCACAUCAUCCUUUCCUUGUAGAUAAGGUUGUCCUCUUAGAGCCGCUUAGGCGAAAAGACUUGUUCUUUUUCUUUCUGGUGCCUUCUGAUGCAAUCCAUAUAUUUGUUCUUUUCGUAAGAAUCAUGCCUUUUCUCUCCCACCCCCUGAAUGUUGAACUAAGACCAAAGAUUUGGCUCAAAAUAAGGAAAAAACAUCAGGGCUCCGUGCCAGUGCCUCCAAAGCAACGAACAAACGCACGCCUCAUUCCUGGAAGCUUCGAGCAGGUUGGGGAGACUGUCCCCCACCUCUAGGAAGAGAACUGUGAGACCACAAGAUCUCUCUGAAUCUACCAUGUUGAGAUGGGGUGGUGCACAUUUAAAUUGAUUAGGCUACCAUGCCACAGCAUAAUAGGUCACUUUAACUGAGGGUUUACUGUGCAUCAGUCACCGUUCAAAGUCCUCUGAAAGUAUUCUUUUUAUUACGGUCACAACCGCUAUGCAGGAGGUACUGAUCAUAGCUUGAGAUACUUAAGAGACUGUGGUUUGAGAUGCGAUACUAUUGUUGCCUUUUUUUUUCUGUUAGUGUCUUGUAAUGUGUGCUCAAUUCAGUGCUGUCUCUUGCUCCCUAAGAUUUAAAGGAAAUGUGGCCAGAGCCCUAUUUUGUAUUUUGCCCACCGUUAGUCUUUUAGUGGGAAGUGUGAGUUUUGUUUAACUCCUGCUCCUUGUAUAUAAACACCUUUAUUCUUUUCAUCUUCAGACUUUACUAUUUUUAUAACCACUGGACAAUGCAAGUAGCCAUCUACUUCUUUAUUUGUGUCGACCUCUCUCUCGCCCUGUUUGAAGAACCGGCACUGUUUCCCCUGCCUUUCUUGGUAAGGAUUAAAAACAAAAUGGCUAACCAGACUUUGUCAUUGAUGAGUUGGGCCCCAUGCAUUCUUCCUUUUUUUUUUUUUCAAAUUUCAAUAAAUAUGAGUGUGGUUUUCUUUUAUUAUUAUUUUUAAAUGUUUGUUUAUUUUGAGAGAGAGAGAGAAAGAGAGAGAGGGCGCUUGUCUGCACCUGUGUGUGCACAGGGGAGGGGCCAAGAGAGGGAGACAGAGAAUCCCAAGCGGGCUCCUUACUGUCAGUGCAGAGCCUGACGCUGGGCUCAAACUCAAACUCGUGAACUGUGGGAUCAUGACCGGGGCCAAAAUCAAGAGUUGGAUGUUUGCCUGACCGAGCCACACAGGUGCCCUGGAUGAGGUUUUAUUUUCAUUGCUGGGGUUUGUUUGGAAGAACUCUGCCUACUCGCUGAGCUGAUGCUUCCGUCUUAAUUAUAAGGCAUUUUAAAUGGAGUAGAGGUUUUUGUCUUCCAUGUCCACAGGGAUGAAUUGGGUAGACAAAUGAUAUUUUCAGAGCGUAUCCAUGAAAGGGCGAGUAGACAAUGUCAUAAUUUAGUGUGAUACGCAACUUGUACUUGCCACGUUUCCAGCUUUUUUUCAUAGUCCUAAAUCACUAUUUAUUGGCACUUAGCAGCUGGUCACGUACGGUUUUGAGUAAUCGCAUCAAAUUCACCAGCUACUCCGGCUCGGUCCAAGUAUGAAAUUGAUGAUCCGCUCAUGUUAAUUCCCGACUUGAUGCUGCCCCUGCAGUUGUUGCAGAGACUGGGUGACUGGCAAGGCCCAGAAUAUCUACGGUCUGGUCCUUCAACAGAUAAAGUUCACUGACCCCUAUCUUUAUUACCUCCCCUGAUUCUGUGGGUAACUGGGCCCAGGCCGGAAAGAUUUCCUGCUCCUGUGUCAUUAGCUGGGGUAACAAUAUCUGGAAGCUCCGUGGAUCUCUGGAGGCUGGCAGGUGCUGCUGGCCGCGAGCUGGGAGCUUGCCUGGCUGGAGCCGUGGACCAAGUGCCCUGCUGUGUUACGCAGCUGCUGCAUGUGGUGUAGGUUUCUCCCAGUGGGGGAGGAGCAGGGCCAAGCAGGAGCAUCCGAGUGUACAAGCCUCCACUUCCGUCAGCUUGUUGAUGUCCUCUCGGCCAAAGCCCCUGAGAUGCCGGAGCCCCGAGUCAACAUGGGAGGACGCUGCAUACGGGGCUGAAAACUGGGAGCGUGGUUCACCGGGGGCCACCAAAGUGAUGGUGUAACACACUUCUGUAUGAUGAAGAGGCUACAAUUAGUGAAGUCUCUGCAUAGAAAACUUGUAGCCCAGUGACUAUCAAAACAAACCCCAGAGUUGGGAGAAGCAGAGCUGUGCAUUCAGAGACCCAGACGGUCACUCCCUCCCUAGCACGGCCCACUCUGGACGCGAUGAGACUUCCCUGGGGUUGUCUGCUCAGCCCCUUGCCUCUCUUCCCGAGUCCUCACCCUUCCGUUUGUUUUUGGUCACGUGCAGCUUCAGGUUGGCUGAGUUCAGGGUGCUCCUUCAGCCGGUGUUUGGACCUCUGGUCUCUAGAAUCGAAUGUGUCAUGGGGGGGCUUUGGCCCAGAUGCAGCAUUACCAAGCACAUCUUAUUUUGAGCAGAGGUGUCCUGGAAUUGCCCCAGGCCCUGUUGCAAACCUGGCCUUGACAGGGAGUCUCUAGAGUCCUUCGAGGAUGAAUAGGCUGAGGGCUAGACGGUUCGGAAGCGGCUGUAGCCCAUGUCCACGCCCAGGACCCAUGAAGGCUGGGGUGGGGAGGGGAAGACUGUGUCAAGUGCUGCUUUCAGGGCCCAGUCUCCCCAUCUCUUCGUACUGUGGCACCCUCCUCACCCCCUGAUGAAGGCAAGUGUCCUUGUUGGGGAGGAGUUACCGCCUCAGGGAAUCACAGGAAAGCCCGGGCUGCGAUCACAGGCUGCCAGUCUAGCUGCCUGUAGGGAUUUUGGAGCUGGUGUCCUGUAACCUACAGAGGAGACGGUCAGGACUUGGCACUGGGUCUCAGUGGCCUCCCUUCUUUCCUCUAAACCAGCCACACACGGGCGGAGGGCGGCAGUGGCACUGAUGGCUAAGGAAUGACCCACAUCUCAAAACACGUCUUUGGGAGGUUACUCUCCUGUUAGAGAAACUGAACUUCUAGAUGCCUUUUGUAAAUAUGAACUUGAAAUUGGAGAGCACAGAAGAUGCCUGUGUCUGCCGUCCCGGACCUCCCGUCCUCUGGGGAAAUGCCUUCUGGGUGCUCUGCCUGCUGAUCCAGCCCCUCCCAGGAAGCCCUCCCUGCCUGUUGGGUCAUGGGAUUCGUGACUCAAGGGCAGGUUUCCUCUCAAGAGGAAGAAACCAUUCCAACUAGCACAGAAUUUGACUGCGAUUUGCCGCAGUCAAAAGGGACAGUGCUAAUUCUUAGAGGGGGCAUCAAGGUGGCUUGGGCGGCUGGGAGGGUUGCGAGAGAGCUAAAGCUGAACCUCCAAGAGGCGGGGCGCUGUGUUUAGUCUCUGUUUUCUGCGUGCAGGCUACCUCGUUAGCAGAAGUACUCUGUCUGACUGCAUUCUUUGGGAGACUUGUACAUUUUGCAAAAGUCACUCCUCAAAUGGUUUUCUGGAAGGAUACGAAAAACAUCUGCAUCAUGGUAACCAUCGUGGUGAGUGCUCAUUAUAGUACCCUGAAGAUUUUGUGGUCAAAGGCAGAAACUAUGAAGACAAAAGCCUGAAUAGAUUUGAUCUGGUUAAAAGCAACAGUGACAGACGUCGGCACAGCAAACACCAUUAGCACAAGUGCAAGC
RNAcentral lists this long non-coding RNA (4096 nucleotides) under Lynx pardinus (Iberian lynx). Lineage: Eukaryota; Metazoa; Chordata; Mammalia; Carnivora; Felidae. The record is from RNAcentral.